GCGGCAGGCUUACACAUGCAAGUCGAGGGGUAUAGUUCUUCGGAGCUAGAGACCGGCGCACGGGUGCGUAACGCGUAUGCAAUCUACCUUUUACAGAGGGAUAGCCCAGAGAAAUUUGGAUUAAUACCUCAUAGUAUGUGAGAAUCGCAUGGUUUUCACAUUAAAGUCACAACGGUAAAAGAUGAGCAUGCGUCCCAUUAGCUUGUUGGUAAGGUAACGGCUUACCAAGGCAACGAUGGGUAGGGGUCCUGAGAGGGAGAUCCCCCACACUGGUACUGAGACACGGACCAAACUCMUACGGGAGGCAGCAGUGAGGAAUAUUGGACAAUGGGCGCAAGCCUGAUCCAGCCAUGCCGCGUGCAGGAUGACGGUCCUAUGGAUUGUAAACUGCUUUUGUACAGGAAGAAACACUCCCUCGUGAGGGAGCUUGACGGUACUGUAAGAAUAAGGAUCGGCUAACUCCGUGCCAGCAGCCGCGGUAAUACGGAGGAUCCAAGCGUUAUCCGGAAUCAUUGGGUUUAAAGGGUCCGUAGGCGGUUUAAUAAGUCAGUGGUGAAAGCCCAUCGCUCAACGGUGGAACGGCCAUUGAUACUGUUAAACUUGAAUUAUUAGGAAGUAACUAGAAUAUGUAGUGUAGCGGUGAAAUGCUUAGAGAUUACAUGGAAUACCAAUUGCGAAGGCAGGUUACUACUAAUGGAUUGACGCUGAUGGACGAAAGCGUGGGUAGCGAACAGGAUUAGAUACCCUGGUAGUCCACGCCGUAAACGAUGGAUACUAGCUG
Molecule: ribosomal RNA, 781 nt
Filed under: uncultured Flavobacteriales bacterium
Lineage: Bacteria; Pseudomonadati; Bacteroidota; Flavobacteriia; Flavobacteriales
Description: bacterial SSU rRNA
Rfam family: Bacterial small subunit ribosomal RNA
Source: RNAcentral